UACGUAGGUGGCAAGCGUUGUCCGGAUCUACUGGGUGUAAAGGGCGUGUAGCCGGGCUGACAAGUCAGAUGUGAAAUCCGGGGGCUCAACCCCCGAACUGCAUUUGAAACUGUUGGUCUUGAGUAUCGGAGAGGCAGGCGGAAUUCCUAGUGUAGCGGUGAAAUGCGUAGAUAUUAGGAGGAACACCAGUGGCGAAGGCGGCCUGCUGGACGACAACUGACGGUGAGGCGCGAAAGCGUGGGGAGCAAACAGG
This 253-nucleotide ribosomal RNA is filed under the name uncultured bacterium. Its description in RNAcentral is "partial 16S ribosomal RNA". It matches the Rfam family "Bacterial small subunit ribosomal RNA", at positions 524 to 776 of the family's 1533-position model. The record is from RNAcentral.